This 523-nucleotide ribosomal RNA is filed under the name Ecclisocosmoecus spinosus. Its description in RNAcentral is "partial 16S ribosomal RNA". Lineage: Eukaryota; Metazoa; Arthropoda; Insecta; Trichoptera; Limnephilidae. The record is from RNAcentral.
GUCUUUUUGAUAAAUAAUUUAAAGUCUAAUCUGCCCCCUGAAAUUAAUUUAAAGGGCUGCGGUAUUUUAACCGUACAAAGGUAGCAUAAUAAUUAGGUUUUUGAUUGAAAUCUAGAAUGAAUGAUUGGACGAGAUACAGGCUGUUUUAAAAUAAUUAGUUAAAACUUAAUUUUUUAGUCAAAAAGCUAAAAUUUUAUUAAAAGACGAGAAGACCCUAUAAAUCUUUAUAAUAAAUUUAUUUUAAUGGAUUAUGUUAUUUAAAUUAGUGAUUUUAAUAUUAAAUUAUUUUAUUGGGGUGAUAUAAAAAUUUAACUAACUUUUUAAUAUUGAUUUUCUUAAAUUAAAGAUUUUAAAAUUUAUGAUCUAUUAUUAAUAAUUCAAAGAAUAAGAUACUUUAGGGAUAACAGCGUAAUUUUAAUUUUAAGGUCUCAUUAAAAUUAAAGAUUGCGACCUCGAUGUUGGAUUAAAAUUUAAUUUAAAUGCAAAAGUUUAAAAAUUAAGUCUGUUCGACUUUUAAAAUUUU